RNAcentral lists this small RNA (3733 nucleotides) under Pan troglodytes (chimpanzee). Its description in RNAcentral is "retained intron". The record is from RNAcentral. Lineage: Eukaryota; Metazoa; Chordata; Mammalia; Primates; Hominidae.
AUGCCAGGCAUUGUCCUAAAACAAAAGAUGAAGCACUUCUCCUUGCUGCCACCGUGUGAAGAAGGACGUGUUUGCUUCCCCUUCCACCAUGAUUGUAAGUUUCCUGAGGCCUCCCCAGGCAUGCUGAACUGUGAGUCAGUUAAACCUCUUUCCUUUAUAAAUUACCUGGUCUCAGGUUUGUCUUUAUUAACAGCGUGAAAAUGGAGUAAGACACUGGGGAUGGUAGAAGAUGAGGUUAGAGAGGUAGGCACAGCCAGGGAAUGACAGAAUAUUUUUGUAGUCAGCUGAGUACUUUGUAUUUUAUCCUGAUGGCUAUGAGAAGCCACAUGCGGUGGUCCAAUCUAUUUGACUUGGUGACUAAUGGGAUCUGGGGAGAAGGUGUAAAGGAACCAGGUGAGAUAUGAUGACAGCCUCGACCAAAGAUAUAACUGACAAAUAAAUGGCCUCAUGUGAUCCCAUAGGUUUCACUAGGCAGGAGAAGAAAGUAGAAUAAUUCUCCUAUCAGUAAUAUUAUUCUCCAACGACUACUCGGUACCUUUUUUCAUUAUUUAUGUAAAUUUUAUUGCCCCUAUUCAAUCAUCAGGUCCUUGAAGGAAGAUCAGAGAGACCUGUGUCUAAUUCAUGUUUGUGCUGCUCACACUUUCUAACACAGAUCUUGCACAUAUCAACGAUGCUAUAAAUAUAUAUUGAAUAAAUAUUAACACAGAAUUUGUGGGGGGGGGUGGUGCCAGAGUCAGUAUUUAAACCAAGAGAAAGCCCUUCAACUCCCUCCUUUGCAGAGAGAUUACUCAUUCUGCCAUACUGCACAUCCACAAGACAUUUACAGCCUACCAGAGACCUUUAAAGAAAGUUUCAUAACAUCCCUGCUGACCAUCUUUUUGGAGAUGGUGGGUACUAGAGUCUAUAUAAUUUCUAGAAGAUUCUAAAGUAGACUGCCAGACAUUAGAAAAAGAUCUGAAUUUAUGAGUCAGUCAUCCACAAGAGCUACAUGUUUGUCAGUGGCAGGGCCAAAAUCAACAGGACCUUCUUGCCAAAGUUUCGAGAUACCCACUUACCUAUUUAUUGAUAUCUAAGGGUUCAGGGUCACCAGGAUUCUCUAAAGUCAUCCAUUUGCAAACAUGUUCCAAGACCAGCAGUAUUUUGUAUAUGAAAGCUAUCUUGCAAUAUAGACUAGCUGAAUGAAAUGUCUGUCUUUGUCAUGAACUUUCAUGUUUUCAUUUCAGUAAUGCAAACCACAACAGUGCUAUGAUCAACCCUCAUCAUCAGUAUAGAAGAAAUUAUCUUAGUCCUAACCCAUGUUCUUACUGGUUUAUUCAUUUAUUUUCAGCUUUCUGCUCUUUGUUUAUUAUUUAUGUAAGAUGUUUUAGCUCUUUAUGCUGAGUUAAAAUGUAAUCAUUUUAUUAAUUUUUUUUUAAAAGUUAAAUUUCUAACCAUAAAUUAUAGGAUGAUUAGUUAAAGACAGAAAUCAGUUUUAAGCAAAAUAACUAAGGGCAUAUCCUCUUCCCAGCAUUUUUUAUAAAAGAAGUAUUUUAUUUUAAAAUAUUUCUAGACUUAACAGAAAAAUUGCAAAGAUAAUACAGAGUCCCAUAUACCCUAUACCCAUUCUCACUUAUUAACAUCUUACAUUAAUAUUGUCCAUUUGUGAUAAGUAAUGAACCAAUAUUGAUAUAUAGUUUUUAAUUAAAGUCUAUCAUGUAUUAAGAUUUCCUUAGUUUUUAGCUAAUAUUCUUUUUCUGUUCCAGGAUCCCAUCCAACAUAACUCAUUAAAUUUAGUUGUCAUGUCUCUUUAGGCCCUUGUUUGCCAUGACUGUUAAGACUUCCCUUGCUUUUUAUGACCUUGACAGUUUUGAGGAGUUCUCCUGUCAUUUCUCCUCACAUAUUUUGUAGAAUGUCCCCUAAUUGGGAAUUAUAUGAUGGCUUUCUCGUGAUUAGGCUGGAGUUAUGGAUUUAUGAGAUGAAGACCACAGAGGUAAAAUGUCAUUCUCAUCAUAUAUCAAGGCUGUGUACUAUCAGCAAGAUUUAUGACUGCUGAUAUUGACCUUAAUCACCUGCUUGGGGUGGUGUUUGUUAGUUUUCUCUACUGUAAAGUUACUCCUCUCAUCUUUUAUUUGUAUUUUAUAUUAUUGUUAUUAUAUGUUUAUUUGUUAUUAUUUUAGAGACAGACUCUCACUCUGUCACCCAGGCUAGAGGGCAGUGGUGUGAUCAUAGCUUACUGCAACCUUGAACUCCUGGGUUCAAGUGAUCCUCCCACCUCGACUUCCACAAGCGCUAGGAUUACAGCCCUUCUCCCCCACUGUACCUCCCCACAUUUUUAUAUUAUACUCUGGAAGGAAGCCACAAUGCAUAGCACACAAUUAAGAAGCAGCGAUUUAUACUCCACUCUUUGAUGGCAAAAUAUCUACAGAAAUUAUUUGAACUUCUUCUGCCCAGGAGAUUUGUCUAUUGUCCCCCAUUGAUUUACUUAUUCAAUCAUUUGUUUGUAUCAUUAUGGUCUCAUGGAUAUCUAUUUUGCACUUUCAAUACUAUUUUACUUUGUUGCUCAAGUUGUUCCAGCCCUGGCCAUGGAGAAUACAUUCAGUUGGCUCCUGUGUCCCUGUAACAUAGCCCUGUCAUUAUUGGAUUUGGUUGAGCACUUUCCUACUUUCAGGAGCUACAAAAUGCUCUAGGUUCGUCUUGUAUAUUUCCUGCUCCAUCCUAGAGUCCAUGUCUCCAAGGAGCUUGGUUCUUUUAUUGGAGAAUGGUAUUAGAAAUCAAGACCUGGACAUGCUCCUUGUUGCAGAGGUGUUAUUGCUUCUAGGCUAAGCUGACAGAGAAAUAACAUAUAUGUGUGUAAAUUAACCCAUGUCUAUACACAUAUAUCUAUAAAUCCUUCUCUUUGUAACUAUCUGUAUCUAUAUUAAGCUAAAUAUGAGUUGAUACUGAUGUCUCCAAUCCCAACCCAGUAGCACGUAGAUAAUUCUAACCUUCUCCCCCUUGCUUGUUUCCUCUCCCUCCUGCAAUGAAGAACCUGACUUCUGCCAUCAGCCAUUCAUUUAUUUCACUGUUCAAUUCCAGUCUCCUGUAUAGUACUUCCAUAAUUGUUAAGCCAUACCCACAUAGAAAUAACUUUAUAAGUUUGAGUGCUUAUAUAGAGCUCUUUUUGCCUUUAAUCUUACAGACUCGAUUCAUUUCCAAACUUACUUACGUAAGCAUUUUCUCUCACAUCCCCUUCAAUAAGCUUAUUUCAUGCAUUUGUAAUACAGUUAGAUUAUUUUGCCAUAUUUUACAUUUCAUCCUGGAAUCCUCCAACCUUCUAAAUAUUUUUUAAAUUUUGUAUAAUUAAGUUUCUCUCUUUAUGCCGUGAAGUUCUAUGGGUUUUGACAAGUGCAUAGUGUCAUGUAUCUAGUAUUAUCACGAUAUCAUAAAAAGAUAGUUUUACCACCCUUUAAAAAAUCCCUAGUGGUUGACCUAUUCAAUUCCUUUCACCAAGAGUUUCUGAAACCACUGGUCUAUCUGCCAUCUCCAUAAGAGUUUUGCCUUUUCCAGGAUAUCACUUAAAUGGAACUAUACAUUAUGUAGCCUUUUAAGACUGGCUUUUUUCACUUUGCAGCAUGCAUUUAAGAUUCAUCUAUGUCUUCCUGUGGUUUGACAGCUCAUUCCAUUGUGUGGAUGUGCCACAGUUUAUUUAGCCAUUCACCUACUAAAGUUUACUUCUAGUUUUUGGUAGUUAUAAAUAAAACUGCUAUAAAAUUCU